CAGUCACCUCUGCUGCCCAGGACGCUCAGCUGCCCCCUGAGGUCCCGCCCUUCCAGCCCCGUUCCUCCUCCCCUCCCACUGCAGCCUCCAUUCUCUCUCGGGGGUCCCCACAGACCAGCCCCGUCACGCCCAGACCCACACCAGCCGCCGGCACACGCCCUACAGCCGUGGCUAUGCCCACCGCAGCCACGUUGCCGCGAGAUAAAUGACCGGCAAUGGCGGGCCAGCGCCCAGGUCACCAGCACUUUCCCAAGGGCACGAAUAUCCACCAAUUCCCUUGCCUUCCCCGUGCCCCCAGUCCCCGCUCCCACCUUGCUCCCUGAUGGCUCCCUGAGCAGGUGUUGCUGUGGGCACACCUGCCUUGGGUGUAGACCACCAGGGACCUGGAAGGACAUGGUGGUCGGGAUUCGGGGGACGGGUGGAAGGCACACACAAAUUUGUCUCCGUGGCCUCCUGACACCCGCCAACAGAGCAGCAACAGAAUAAGUGAGGCGUGAAGCCAGGAGGAGGGAGAGGUAACAGCCGCUGAGGAAAGAGAGCAGCUAACUCUGGGGAGAAGGGAGGAGGAAGGCCACUGAACACAGCGGCAGGUGCCAAGGAGGAGGGAGCAGGGUGGGAGGUGAGGGGUGGGAUGCUGGCGCAGGAGACACAUGAGGCUAAUGCGACCCGAGGCCGGCGGCAUGGACACUGGGUCCAGGGAGCUGAGGGACACAGCUCAGGACCUCAUGAGUAGAUGACAUCGUGUCGGCAGCCUGAAAUUGGCUAUCGUAGGAAUGUGUGCAUCUCUGAACCCAGCGAAUGCCACCAGCCAGAGCUUCCCCCCGGCCCCUCCCCCAGACAGCUGGCUGUUAAACAUUUACCAGCACAUCACUGUUUAAAUGCCUGGACCUCGGUCCAAGAGGACAGAAGGCGUAUUCUCAACAGAAGUUGAGCAGAGGAGCCUGUGGACUCCACCCCACGGCAUCAGACACGGAAUGCUGGGAAGAACAGCGCCUUCUCUGACCUGCUGGCCCUCGUCAGCAGAUCUGGGGGUCGGUCCAGAGUGAAGAUCGGAGCAUCCGGGCAGUGUGAGGGGUCCCCGAGGAACUGGAAAGGCCCCCCUCCCCGACAGGAAUGAAAGCUCAGGGGCACAGUCCUCUGGAGAAACCUUUCCAAGGAAAGAGCCCAGAUAACGGAGAAGAGGAGAGCAGGGACAAACAGAAGCCGUGUGGGAGCCGAGAAGACAUCACAGCCGACUCUACCUGAUAGUCUCAGAGGCCCCAGAGAAGGCAGUCCGUCCGCGAGGAAAGAACUGGAUGCUGUGAAAAGGGGCAGUGGGACAAGGAAGAGCUCUUGGAAAUUAAAAGCGUAACUGGAAAAACACAAGAAAUGCAGGACACGGACUGGACACACUUGUGGACAUUUCCUGGGAAGCAGAAUAAAAAUUCUAAGAGAUGGAAAAUGGGGAGAAAAGAUAAUCAAAUGGCCAGCUAAGGAGACCCCACCUCUGCUUCACACGCACCCUGGGAGAGAACACAGAGGGAGCAGAAGGGGUGAUUAUUAAAGAAAUCGUAGGAGAGAUUGUCCUGCUUUUUCCUUCCUUAGUGAAACGGCCCACUAAGGGCCCCAAUGACUUUCACGAAAGCAGCUCCAGGAGACAUCAUGAGAAAUUAGACAAGGCCAGAGGAGGAAGACAAGAUACCAAAGGCUCCCAGGAGAAGCAGGAGGGUUACUCACAAAGGUCAGCAAUUCAGAAUUCCCGGAGCAGCAGACUUCUCACUAGGAGCUCAGAAACUCAUGUUUUAAAUACGUAAGUUUUUGGAAGCUGGAAGACGGAAGAAAUGCCCUCCAAAUUCCAAGGGAAAGAGAAUUCCAAGUUCUAAAUCCAGGCAAAUAAUCAGUUAGGUUUGGGGGAGAAUAAAGAUACCUUUCAGACAUGCAAUACUUCAAAACUAUUUUUUCCUGUGUGUUCUUUCCUGGCUCAGCACUCGAGGAUGCGCUCCAGCCAGCUGAAGGAGGAGACCUGGUGUGAGAAAGCAGGGGCAGGAGAAGCAGGGCUCGGCCCAGAGGAGACACAAAAGGGCAGCCUGGCCGGUGGGGGCGGUCAGGACAUCUCGCUGCUGGGCAGCCUGCGGGCGCACAGACCAGAAGGGCAGAGAGACAGGAGGGCACCGGGAGGGCGCCCUCCAGGAACGAAGCAAAUCCUGCAGGUUAGCCGAUGGGGCUGGUGGUGAGCGAGGGGUUUAUGGCUCCGGUGGAGAGCUUCAGAAAAUUAACUUCGGUUCACGGACAAAUUUAAAAAAAGGGGGAGGGGGCAAUUAUUAACUGCAGAAAAAGCAAACAAUAUACAAAGAACGAAGUAUAAUCGUAACACAUAGAUGGCUCUGCUGGAGAAUAUUCACCUUGUCAUAAUAAAAAUUAACAGAAGAAAUGAUGGUGGUUGAAGCAAAACCCGCGAUCCACCCACAGUCAGAGGGCAGAGGCCGGAAGUCAGUGCGUGUCUGGCCCGGAGGCUCUGGAAAGACCAGUGGCCACUACUUGCAUUAACUCGGCCGAGGUCUUCGAGGCAACAGACUGAGACUCUGAAUCCGGAUCUGACUUCAGAGCAUCCCCCCAAACUCUGCGAGCCCGGCCCAGAAACCAACGGAGGCCAGGGGCGGAGAGACCUCCAAGUCUUCAAAUGCUGGAAGAUUCCGGGAAGAAUGCCGAGGACACACAGAAGGCGGUGCUGCAUCAGGACCCUGUGCCCGUGGAGCUCAUGAGGGUAGACACAACAGGGCCACUGAGGCUCCAGACAACCCAUGUGCUUCCCGCUGCCACUGGUGCUGUGCACAGUGGUGUGGCAGGUGCCCAGCUGGGACCCAGGGGCUCCCCCACCCCUCGGCCUGGGCCAGCUGCACCCCAGGGCAGGCUGGGGAAAGGGACGCUGCGGGCAAUCACUUGGUCUGCCCGCCAGUGACAGCUGGGGAGGAGAAGGGACAGAGCUGUCAGGGCCCAGCAGAAGGCAAACUCUAUCACCCCGUGUCAGAGUCGACACUGGGGUCCGGGUGCAGUAGGUCACCUGCUCGAGGUCACACAGCUGCCCUGAGACCCAAAUUCUGUUUCUAAGUCACCAGGAUGGCUCCAUGUUCCACUGACGCCCAGCGCCCAUCCACUCACUUGCCUCAACCCGCCGGGGUCCACCGAGGGCCAGGCUCCGUGCUGCCUGCGGGGGCUCACGGUGGAGAAGGCCGGCCUGGGCUAACGAGGGAACGUCAGCGAGGAUGAGAGCGGCCCUGCUCUAACCACCGCUCCUGGUCACGCCCUGGACCACCACAGCCACCCUGCAAGGACUUUCCAUUCAACAGUGCCUACAAGUGGGAAGGGACAUCUCCUAAGAGGAUGGUUUCCUCCGUAGGUAACAUUCACAUUUCAGAGACGGAAGCACGAGUCAGGACGACCUGGCUGUGCUUCUGGAGAGAAUGCCGCGGUGGGCCUCUGCCCUGCUGGGAACGGGGGCUGUGUCCCCAAGGGUCCUCCCCCACCCGAUGCUCAGAGGCCUCGUGCAGCCGGAGGCCACCAUGACACAUGCCAUGGCUUUCCUUUGCCUCCCUUUAAUGACCACACUUCUUCCUUUCUCCUUCUGCCUCAGUUUAAAUGUCUGUUCUUUUUUUUUUUCUUUUUUUUAAUGGACCUUUAUAAGCCAUUUAAGCCCUGCCCUCCACGCGGCUGGAUGUAAACAAGCACACGUGCCAACCACUGUUGGGGGCCAGACCUGUGCCUAGGGCUUCCCGUCCAUCCCGCCUCUGAGCAGACACAAGGUGCCCGGCCUGGAGCUGCACCGGGGAGGCUCGGAGACGCGACCUCCUGCUCAGCAAGUGCAGCCAGUAUAGGCAGGACACGAGGAAGGGAAGGGACGGCUCUGGCUUGUCUGAAGACAGACCCUUAGAACGUUACUUAUGGCAAUGGCGUCUCAGAAGCUCCUUCUUCCUUGACAACUGAGCAGCACAUGAGCCACUCAGAGAACGGGGGAAGACACGGCGGAAGAACCGUGGCUCACAGCCGCUUCAGGCACCCAGGCCGUGACGUAUCCCUGCGUCACUCAAAAUAGCUGCUAUAGAGCCUAAGAAAGCCCUCUCUGCCUCCCUGGACUCCCUGCUCCACGCACUUGGUUAAACCUCACUUCUCAUUCCUUACGUUACCCGUGGCUGCUUCCUGCUCACUGCCGUCAUGAGGCUGGUGGGCAGAGUGAUGGGUAGCCUUCGCUUUGGAAGGCUUUUCCUUAUUUUAGUCUCUGCCACUGCUGGAGGGCCCCAGCCAUGAGCCCCUGCUGUUCUGUAGCGUGGUGGGACAGCCAUGGCUCAGGUGAGAGACUUUCAGGGGUGACCUCGAACAGCACACGCCAGGAGACAUUAUGACCUGCGCCCUGGGUCGGAGGUGACCUUAUCGAUGUCCUACAGAACCACUCCUAAAUCCCAAAGAUAAACAGGAAGAUCCCAACAACGUGCCGAAUUAAUGUAGAGUUUCACCAUUUUAUUUUUAGGCCAACACGUACCAAUAAACACUAAGUGAUUGACACGUAUUGAUUACGCACUUGUGUAGGGAUUAUUGCCCUCAUUUCACGGGUGAGGAGACAGGCUGGGGGUUGUCCAGUCACCCGCCCUCAGCCCAGGCUUCUGACUCCCAAGUUCUGCCGCGUUCCCCUUUUCCAAGUACCAGGCCCUCGAAGUGACUCUGAUUAGGAGCUCAGGAUAAGGUAAGAAGACGGCGACCAAACAUUUAACAACCCACUGUUUGGGGGAAAAAAAAAAAAAACCCAAAGAACAAAAAAACGCAAACUGACUUGUCACAUUUGCCAAUUUCCAUGAUGUAAAUUCUUCCCACCCUGCUGAUUUCCAGCUACCAGUGUCAUGUUAACUGAAGUCAUAAAAUUCCUGAAAAUGUGAGCCAGUCCACGUGUACUCCAGCACAUGUCUGGACAGUUUUCCUCCUCUGCCAUCUCACUCCGUCCAGAAGGAUCUGUUCAAGUGCCAGCACCUUGCAAAAGCCUUCCGUGACCUCCCAGGUACAACCCACACCAUUUUCUGGCCCCUCCGCCCCUUGUACACUUAUCAAUCACAAUGGCUAUCCCCCAGCACGAUCACUGUUGUGGGGAACCCCCAAAGAUAGGGACCUCAUCAGUGCCCAGAGGGGACCCAGGGGAGACAGCGUUUCAGAGACAACUAGAAAGAAAUUCCACUUAGGAGCACACAGGCAACAAAAUCUAAAUCCAGUAUUAGCAAACAGAAUCCAACAGCCCUUCAAUAAAACAAUUCACCGUGACCAAGAAUGGUUUCUUCUAAGGAUGGGUCGCAUCAAGAAAUCUAUCAGCCUGGCCUGAAUCACCACUACACUUAAAAUGGGAAAGAAAUUAUGAUUGUAUUAAUUAGAUUAAUAAAUGCCAAAAGUCAUUUGGUGAAAAAAAAAUGCAGAAGGCUUCUGAAAACAAUAAAAUAGGACUAGGCGAAAACAAAAUUAUAUGAAAUAUUUUUAUGAGAAAGCAAAUAUUUUACCUACACAAUUGACCCUUGAAUGACGUGGGGGUUAGGGGUUAAGGGGCGCUGGCCUCCCCACCCCGUGUGGUCAAAAAUCUGUGUAUCAUUUUUUAUUUGCCCAAACUUAAUUACUAAUAGCCUACUGUUACCAAUAGAGUAAAGGGCUAAUGCCUACUUUGCAUGUUACACGUUAGACACCAUUUUUACAAUAAAGAGAAAAGAAACUGUUAAAAUCAUAAGAAAUACUUUUACAGUGCUAAAAAAAUCUGUCAGUGGGCCUCUGCAGGGCAAUCCCGGGUCGUUCAAGGCUCAACUGCCCAUAAACCUGUAAAUUUGUUUCUAAUGUCUAAUUAGAAUGUUAAUUUUUAAGUGAACAAAAAUGCCCUCAAACUUCAUAUGGACAUAGAACUUCAUAUAGCUCAUGGUUCAUGACCACAAUGGCCUCCUCAGUGCGGUCCUCCCAGCUGUAAAAGGAAGGGGCUGAACCGACAUAGUGCCCGAGGACUCCGGUGCCAGACCCUGGGGACAGACAAGCUUUAAGGAAAGCUUAAAAGGAAGCACAGCAAGAAGGACUUGCUUUUGGGGCACCUGGGUGGCUCAGUCCGUUGAGUGUCCGACUUCGGCUCAGGUCAUGAUCUCACAGCUCGUGAGUUCGAGCCCCGCGUCGGGCUCUGUGCCGACAGCUCAGAGCCUGGAGCCCGCUUCCGAUUCUGUGUCUCCCUCUCUCUCUGCCCCUAACCCACUUGCAUUCUGCUCUGUCUCCCUCAAAAAUAAAUAAACAUUAAAAAAUUUUUUUAAAGAAGAGACUUGUUUUGCAGAUAUUAAAACAGCCUAAAGCCGCCAUGAUAUCUGUGCAGAAACAGGCAAAUCUCCUCAAUACAACAGAUAAGAGACUCCAGAGACAGACCCGUGUUUAUAAAGAAACUAAAUAUGUCACACAGGUGGCAUGUUAGUUAAGAGGAGAAAGAAUAUUUGCCAAAAUAAACUGGUCCUGGCAUAACAGACUAAACAUCUCAGAACACAAAAUUCAGGAUCCACCUCAUUCUACAUCCACAAGUAAGAUCCAGAUAGAUUAAUGCUUUAAAUCAGAGGGUAAAAAAAAAAAAAGAAAUCAAGAGAACAUGUAUACAGGAGAAAGUGGGGGAGGCAUUCCUAAGAAGAGAGACAUACUUGAAGACUGCACAAAGUAGACUUCGUAUGGCAAAAGCCAUGUAAACAAAAUCAGAAGAAACACCAGAGUGGGAAAAUGUACCCGCUGCACAUGUAACAGACGAUCGGCUCUUAAGCCCAGGCUAGUUUCCUACAGACGGGAAAGACAAAGAAAGGAUCUUCUAGGAGGGGUGGAAGACGCGCACAGGGAAUUCAAGGAGCGGACUGAAGAGCCCCAACCUCACCGGUACCUGGGGAAAGGCAAAGCAGCACGACACCACGUUUGACGCGGCAGAGCACAAAGUAUGGAGACAUUAGAUGGAAACGUGAGGACACGGGCAGGCAGGUGCGAGAACCACUACGGCAGCUCUUGCUUUGGGAGGUAGGCUGGGUGUUCACUGAAAUGUCAAGUACAUGGACCUCAGAAGAAUCCAAAAAUGGCAGGGUCCCACGUGUGUCAAAGAAAUAUGGGUCAUAUGGGUGUAAAUUACACCUACAUGCAGUUUGUGAGCCUGGAGAAACGUAUGGACAGACACAAAUAUGUAUAUUCAAUGCAAGGGUGUUGCUACUGGGUUUCUUCUUGGAAGGAUGGAAAUGGUAGGGGGGCCAGUACGUUUCAUACCCGCCUCUAUUAUUUCACUGGUUAAAAUAAACAGGGAUUACUUCUAUAAUUUAAAAAAGUGUAACACGCGGUUUUAAAGCGCUUUCUAGACCGAAAACCAAUACCAAUGGCAAGGCUUAUAACUGGUGUAACCAUUGUCAUUGCUUACAGGGUCCCUAGGCUUGUUACGGCUUCAGCGUAGAGCGAUCAAGGAUUCUCAGCAUCGUAAUAACCUGGUAAAUAGGAAUCAAAAAGGUAGCAGCUGGAGCUCUCCCUGCGGAGCUCGAUGGAGAGAAAAUGAAUCACAGCACCACGUGCAGCUAUUGGCUGGACCUAAAUUGUUCCUCACUCUGAGAAUUAGUUAAGUGGCUGAGCAAUAAAGCAGAGAGAUUGGAGAGUUCUUUCUCAGCACAACGGCCUUGACUUCUGCCCUUUCAGUCGGCAUGGCUUCCUCGGGGACUGUGGCGUGCUACAGAGUCCCAGGGGGGGCCUCGGGAAGGCGUGCUCCGGCCCCCUCCUCCCCCGCCCCUGGCUGCCCCAGCAGCCCUGCGGCCUCGAGGCUCCGGACAAACCAGUUCAUCCAACUUGACUGAAAACCCAUCACUGGGGCCGAGCUGGGCCAGACCCGUGCCAGGCCUUGGGUUGCGUCAGUGACUCCUUCAUUUCCGGCCAAGUGCUAGGGUGCCAAGGAAUUAGGCAUGGGGAGGCGACACAGACCCUGGCCCAAGGCGGCUCGUGGUUCACGACCACAAUGGCCUCCUCAGUGCGGUCCUCCCAGCUGUGAAAGGAAGGGGCUGAACCCACACACUGCCCGAGGACUCCUGUGCCAGACCCUGGGGACAGACAGACCCAGGCUCAGAGCCCCAGUUCACAGACCGUCGGUGCCAGAAGAGAGCCCAGCAGGGCUGGAGAGAGCAGCCGGGGCCACGUCUCAGGCGGGCGUUAGGCCCCCGCAGAGGAGAGAACUGAGCCAAGAGCAGUGGGAAGGGGAGAGGUAGGCUCUGCCUGGACGUCACAGGGAGGAGGCAGUGGGGCUGGUGCCCACCGGGCGACAACUGCAGGGUACACGUGCACUUGUGUCCUUUGUCAGCAGCACACAGGGCCGUCAGAAACCGGGACCGUGUGCUGCACGAGGCUCUGAAAAUGCAAAGAUGGACAGAGCCUUGUUCCCACGGUCUGGGUCGGCUCCGGCUGCUACAACAACAGCCCACGGGCCAGGGGCUCGGACAACAGGCAUUUGCUUCCUGCAGCUCUGGAGGAUGGAGUCCAGGAACAAGGUGCUGGGAAGCUGGGGGUCUGGGGAGGGCCUCCCCUCGGGGUGAGUGUAUGGGGAACUCGUGAGCUCUCAUUCCUCUUCUUACAAGACAAGGACACCAGCGCCUGUCAGACUGGGGCCCCACCCUCGUUGACUUCCGCAGAGGCCCUGUCUCCAAACACAGCCACACAGCGGGUCAGGACGUCAACAUAUGAACUUGCAGGGGACACACUCACUCCAUACAUGACCCCUCCAGGUGCCUGGUUGCUCCAAAGGCAUAAAGAGGGGAGGAGCCCCAGUUGUCAUAGACAAGGUGGGAGCUGGGACUUAGGAUGAACAGUGGUGUGGCACAGAGUAAAGGGUAUUAAGUGAAGGGGUGGGAGGGUUAGAGUGAGUUGGGGGGCAGAGUGGGCAUUCAAGCUAAGGGGCCUGAGUGAGGACAGGCCGUGGUGCCUAUGACGGCAGGGAGGCUUGGAGAAAAGACCAAGGUGCAGGGGGCACCGUGGGGGUGGGGCAGUGGGUGAGGAAUCUGAAAAGGCUUCAAGGAAGACACGGACGCCAGGCCAAGGAUGUCAUCCUCUAGCCCCAAACCCCCGGCGACUCAAGCAGGGGCCUCGGG
Molecule: long non-coding RNA, 9116 nt
Organism: Acinonyx jubatus (cheetah)
Lineage: Eukaryota; Metazoa; Chordata; Mammalia; Carnivora; Felidae
Exons: 3
Source: RefSeq, a predicted model, not a curated record